Molecule: ribosomal RNA, 244 nt
Filed under: uncultured bacterium
Lineage: Bacteria
Description: partial 16S ribosomal RNA
Rfam family: Bacterial small subunit ribosomal RNA
Source: RNAcentral
GUGAUAUGGAGCAAAACCCUAAAAACGGUACUCAGUUCGGAUUGAAGGCUGAAAUUCGCCUUCAUGAAGCUGGAAUUGCUAGUAAUGGCAGGUCAGCAUACUGCCGUGAAUACGUUCCCGGGCCUUGUACACACCGCCCGUCACACCAUGGGAGUUGGGAGCGCCCGAAGCCGGUGAGGUAACCGAGAGGAGCCAGCCGUCGAAGGUGAGACCAAUGACUGGGGUGAAGUCGUAACAAGGUAAC